AUGCUUGCUUUGGCAGGAUAUAUAAAAAAUUGGAAUGAUACAGAAAAGAUUAGCAUGGUCCCUGUACAAAUACAACACAUAAAUUUGUAAAGGGUUCCAUCUUUUU
Small nuclear RNA from Mustela putorius furo (domestic ferret), 106 nucleotides. The record is from Ensembl. Lineage: Eukaryota; Metazoa; Chordata; Mammalia; Carnivora; Mustelidae.